UAUAAAAAAUACUGUUCAUUGUCUAUCUGAAAUUCAAAUUGAACUGGACAUCCUGGAUUUUACCUAGCAACUCUAAAAUAUAAAUAAAUUUGUCUCAACUGGUUAGGACACCUUCUAAGUGUCUGGAUUAAACUGGGUUUCUUGCUGCUUAACUAGAUGUCUCUGGUCUUACGUGAGCAUCCCUGGUUGGUGGAGUGAAAAUCCCAGAUGUUGAAAUAGAUGAAAAGGGGAGGGAAGGAGGUGGCUCACACUUGGAGGGUGAGGGGCCCAGCAUACCCCACCUGCUUUCCCCCUGCCCCCAACUUCCACCCGCACUCCAGAGCGAGAAUGUGCCUUUCCCUCCCAUCAGCCAAGGAUUUGGAGGGAAGGUCUUCAGAAAUCUGGGGAGCUGCUGCGCUCAACCUUGCAGCAUAGGAAAACGGACUGAAAGUUUAACCACUUCGAACCCUCUUCCCAACCCGUACACACACAGGGCCACCCCUUUCCUAUCGCCCUGUUUCCCUGGGCCCUACAACUCUUUCCCUCUGCUGUCUCCACCCCACUACUCCCUCCCCACCCCCUGUCUCUCCAAAUAAGGGAGCCGGAGCUAGUGGAGUGGUCAAACCAGGAUGCCUGUGGGUCUGCUCCCCUCCCCCAGGCUGAACCCAGCUGCCAGCGAGGCCUCGGGGAGGGAGCGGAGCAGAGUGCAGCGCAGCUGGAAGCAGCCCAGCGGAGACCAGUGAUGUUGGGCGCGCCCCGCGAGUAGCCGUGCAGCUCCUCUGGCUCUAGGUUUCCGUGGCUCCGCCUGCACCGGUGCCGGCCAAGUUCACAGUCGGAGGCGGGAGGCAGGCGCAACCUUAGCGCCACGUCAAGGUGAGAAGAGGCCUGCCGGGCUGCCCAGGGCCGGGUCCUCUACUAUGAGACUAGUGGCGCUGGAGGUGGAAGAUGACGUGGCAGCACGAAGAAGCGCCACAUCCUGGGGUUUAGACUUUCAGAUCCUAGGAGCUGACCCAAAGAAAAUAAUCCGGAUCAAGAGAGAUGUGUCCGGAAAUAUGCACAGCAGCAUAAGGGAAAUGAUUUAAUAAAUCUUGGUACAUCGGCACAAUGGAAUGUUUUUUAUUUCUCCUGGCAUUCACUAAGUGCUGACAUGCACCCUGCCUGCUAGGUACACAAAGGACUAGACUCCAUUAGAACCCUGUGGCAGAUGACAUUUUCCAAAAAUGACCACAACAGUAUCUCCCAUCCCAUGUGCUCUUCUACAAUGUGACCUCAACACUCUCCCAUCAACAGCUGUGAUGUGCAGCAAGUUUCAAGGGCAGGGUUUCAUUUUGCAAACAGAUCCUCAGAAAAAUGUGCCUCCAGCUCCCUGUGACCAGCCACGUCAGCAAAACAUACCACGGAAGAGAAGUCUGCUGCCAAGAAAGCUGGGAAGCAGCCCAGGAGCCAAAUGCUACUCAGGAUGCUGUUUCAAAUCAGCUGCUGCCUGCUCCCUCCCAUUGGUGACAAUAACCAGAU
This is a long non-coding RNA of Phyllostomus discolor (pale spear-nosed bat), 1494 nucleotides long. RefSeq lists it as uncharacterized. Lineage: Eukaryota; Metazoa; Chordata; Mammalia; Chiroptera; Phyllostomidae. The record is from RefSeq and is a predicted model, not a curated record. The transcript is spliced from 3 exons.